This 253-nucleotide ribosomal RNA is filed under the name uncultured bacterium. RNAcentral's name for it is "partial 16S ribosomal RNA". It matches the Rfam family "Bacterial small subunit ribosomal RNA", at positions 524 to 776 of the family's 1533-position model. The record is from RNAcentral.
UACGUAGGGGGCAAGCGUUGUCCGGAUUUAUUGGGCGUAAAGAGCGUGUAGGCGGCCUGACAGGUCUGCUGUGAAAACUCGAGGCUCAACCUCGAGAUGUCGGCGGAAACCGUCUGGCUAGAGUCCGGAAGAGGAGAGUGGAAUUCCUGGUGUAGCGGUGAAAUGCGCAGAUAUCAGGAGGAGCACCCAUGGCGAAGGCAGCAAACUGGGCAUUAUCUGACGCUGAGGCGCGAAAGCGUGGGUAGCAAACAGG